CCGCGUGAGGGCGACGGCUUCGGGUUGUAACCUCUUUUAGCAAGGAAGAAGCGAAAGUGACGGUACUUGCAGAAAAAGCGCCGGCUAACUACGUGCCAGCAGCCGCGGUAAUACGUAGGGCGCAAGCGUUAUCCGGAAUUAUUGGGCGUAAAGAGCUCGUAGGCGGUUUGUCGCGUCUGCUGUGAAAUCCCGAGGCUCAACCUCGGGUCUGCAGUGGGUACGGGCAGACUAGAGUGCGGUAGGGGAGAUUGGAAUUCCUGGUGUAGCGGUGGAAUGCGCAGAUAUCAGGAGGAACACCGAUGGCGAAGCAGAUCUCUGGGCCGUAACUGACGCUGAGGACGAAAGGGUGGGGAGCAAACAGGCUUAGAUACCCUGGUAGUCCACCCCGUAACGUUGGGACUAGUUGUGGGGUCAUUCCACGGAUUCCGUGAC
This 432-nucleotide ribosomal RNA is filed under the name uncultured bacterium. RNAcentral's name for it is "bacterial SSU rRNA". It matches the Rfam family "Bacterial small subunit ribosomal RNA", at positions 397 to 847 of the family's 1533-position model. The record is from RNAcentral.